GUGCUCACAUCGGCGGCCCAUAUACUAAAAUUGGAACAAUACAGAGAUUAGCAUGGCCCCUGCACAAGGAUGACAUGCAAAAGACAGAUGGUAUAUAAGACACAUUUAU
Molecule: small nuclear RNA, 109 nt
Organism: Phyllostomus discolor (pale spear-nosed bat)
Lineage: Eukaryota; Metazoa; Chordata; Mammalia; Chiroptera; Phyllostomidae
Source: RefSeq, a predicted model, not a curated record